CCCUCUAAUCUGGGCUUUGUGCCAUCACUUAAACUAUUUCAUUAAAUAGUACUGACAUGCAUAAAAUAUUUUACUCUCACGUUUGGUACAGUGGGUAGGCAUCAGGGAUACACCAAUGGAUUGGUUCAGAUCAUACCUGGAAAACCUUCUGUGAUAACCUCGUGACCAUGUACAGUCCUCUGCUCCUCUACUAUGUAGUGUGCCACAGCGCACAGUUUUAGGCCCACUUCUUUUUGCUCUAUAUCUGCUUCCACUUGGCUCCAUACUGAGGAAGCAUGGUGUGCUUCUGCUACUCUGAUGAUAGUCUUGAAGUUUAAAGGUCUGGAUGGCUCACAAUUUUUUAAAGUUCAAUGAGAGUAAGAUUUAGUUCAUGGUAUUUAAUGGCACAGCUCAGAGACUCCCUAUUGAGAUAGGUUAUCUAGCCCAGUUCAAGAAGUCAACCAUUACAAACCUUGGAAGCAUAUAUUAAAUUUGACAGCCAGAUUAUGGCAGGAGUCAAAUCAAGCCUUUAUCAUUUAAAGCAGUUGGCCAAUAUAGAGCCAAUUCUUCCUAGGAAACACUUUGAGACAGUAAUCCAUUCCUUCAUUAUUACUCAGCUGGAUUAUUUUAAUGGACCUUAUGUGGGGGUCAGUGGUUCUUCUAUCGGCUAUGUGCACAAUAUGGCGACCGCUAACUUCCGGUCAAAAGUCGUGGGGUCGGGAACUUCCGGGUAAACGUCCCUGCCAUUCAGGUUGGAUUGUAUUGAUAGCAACCAAUGGAAAGAAAUAGGUAUGUCAAUUGUCCAGAGGAAAAAACAAUGCUAUCAGCGUGUGAGUGGAUCGUCGCUACACUGUUGUGUACCUCAGAAAUGGGGUGCUAUUGCCAUUUUUUUGAGUGGAACAACUACUCGUUGCCUGAGAAAAGACCCGUUGUGUUUGACCAUAGGCCUCGGGAGGAAUCUACCGCUGCAGAUCCGCAAGUGGACCCUACAGAAUCGGAGAUGGUGUUUGUAGCACCGGAGUAAUGGCCAACGAGUUACAGAUUGAAAAUGCGGCUCUGCACAAGAGAAUUGAACAGCUACAGAGCCAAGUGGAAGGGCUGCAGCUGCGGAUCCGUUUUGGUUUGGAGCGCUUUGCAGGCUCAGACGACGAAAUCAGGUUCUAUACUAGUUCCAAUGUUUCUGGAAGCUUGUGGAGUCUGCUGUGAAGACCAAGAUGACUCGAGUCACCAAUACCAAGGCCUCCAUAGCUGGCUCUGACAGAUUUCACACAUACGCGGGAACCACUUCAGGUUCUUAGGAACCACCAUCUCUGAGGACCUGAGAUGGUCU
This is a long non-coding RNA of Girardinichthys multiradiatus, 1309 nucleotides long. RefSeq lists it as uncharacterized. The transcript has 3 exons. Lineage: Eukaryota; Metazoa; Chordata; Actinopteri; Cyprinodontiformes; Goodeidae. The record is from RefSeq and is a predicted model, not a curated record.